GGGGCCGUACUGGUUUCGACGGGGGUAGUGAGGCUGGAUAAGCGGGCCGUGGCACCUGACCACGAUAAAACGGGUACUUUUUAAAAUUAACUGACAACAAUACUGUUGCUCUGGCUGCCUAAUUAGGCGCCCAUCCGCCCCGGAAGGUCCACGAGCCGGGCUCGGGUGUGAUCUGAGUGGAGACCGUGCGUAUGGUAAGCUUUGCCCAUACCAUGCAUCAUGAAGCUACUGAUUCCUGCAGAGUGUUUGUUCCCGGCAGGAUGAGGGAAUGUAAAUAACAAACUGCGCCCGGAGAAAGUCCCUCCAAGUUGCUUUCGGACAGGGGUUCGAUUCCCCUCGGCUCCACCA
RNAcentral lists this transfer-messenger RNA (348 nucleotides) under Oscillospiraceae. Its description in RNAcentral is "Faecousia sp017622295 Standard tmRNA". It matches the Rfam family "transfer-messenger RNA". From Rfam's summary of the family: Bacterial tmRNA, also known as 10Sa RNA or SsrA, is named for its dual tRNA and mRNA-like properties. Its role is to liberate the mRNA from a stalled ribosome. To accomplish this part of the tmRNA is used as a reading frame that ends in a translation stop signal. RNAcentral also lists the same sequence under 1 other name. Lineage: Bacteria; Bacillati; Bacillota; Clostridia; Eubacteriales. The record is from RNAcentral.